This 465-nucleotide ribosomal RNA is filed under the name uncultured bacterium. Its description in RNAcentral is "partial 16S ribosomal RNA". It matches the Rfam family "Bacterial small subunit ribosomal RNA", at positions 28 to 507 of the family's 1533-position model. The record is from RNAcentral.
GACGAACGCUGGCGGCGUGCUUAACACAUGCAAGUCGAACGGAAAGGCCCUGCUUGCAGGGUACUCGAGUGGCGAACGGGUGAGUAACACGUGGGUGAUCUGCCCUGCACUUCGGGAUAAGCCUGGGAAACUGGGUCUAAUACCGGAUAGGAGCCAUUUUUAGUGUGAUGGUUGGAAAGUUUUUUCGGUGUAGGAUGAGCUCGCGGCCUAUCAGCUUGUUGGUGGGGUAAUGGCCUACCAAGGCGGCGACGGGUAGCCGGCCUGAGAGGGUGGACGGCCACAUUGGGACUGAGAUUCGGCCCAGACACCUACGGUAGGCAGAAGUGGGGAAUAUUGCACAAUGGGCGCAAGCCUGAUGCAGCGACGCCGCGUGGGGGAUGACGGCCUUCGGGUUGUAAACUCCAUUCGCUAGGGACUAAGCUUUUUGUGACGGUACCUAGAUAAGAAGCACCGGCUAACUACGUG